CAUGAAGUUGCCUAAGUAACAAAAAUGUUUUAUGAGAUGCUUUUUGGAAAGGAAUAGGACCUUCCUCACCUAAAGCUUUCUGAAACUUUGUGGAUUAUACCUCACAAAUGACCUGCAGCAUAGUCUAUCUAAUUUUCUCCAUAUCCUGAUGGUCACUUCAUGGAAUGGCUACUCAUCCAGCUAUGUAGUCUUACACAGGAUGGGUUUUUUUUCCCCCCGCAGUUUACUCCAACAGUACACAAUUGAUCUAUACUCUCCUCUGGGUGAAAGAAGAUCCAUAAAAGAAAUCCUGCCUUUUUGUGAUUCAGUUCAGUGGAGAGAUAUUUCCUGGAAAUAUAAUGACCAUCUUGGGAAGGUAAAGGAACCCACACAGGAAGGCUAAGAAGGAGAAGGCAGCAUACUGAAGAUGAGAGACCAGAAGUUAGGGAGAAACCUAUUUUCCUGAUGGCAUCACUGGGCUGCUUAAAUAUUCCA
Molecule: long non-coding RNA, 474 nt
Organism: Prionailurus viverrinus (fishing cat)
Lineage: Eukaryota; Metazoa; Chordata; Mammalia; Carnivora; Felidae
Exons: 3
Source: RefSeq, a predicted model, not a curated record